UCUUUUCAGAAGCUUUACACUGUAAGCUAAUGGUAAAUUUUCCUUAGUUCAUGAAACUUUAGCUAUCUGAAGAUGGAGUGGAAAUGUAAAUAUUGUGGUUUUAUUAGUGUGAAGAAGGCGCAGCUAUUUAAACACUACCAAUUAAAACAUGGAAGUUACACAAGGACAAUACCAUUUCCUUGUUUGCACCAGGACUGUUUGUGCACAUUCAAUUCCUUAAACAGCCUUAAAGCACACAUAUCUCGUGUUCACUCUAAAACUCAUGAGGAACAACCAGGAGAAAAUGAACCUGUCAAAUUCUGCUGUCAGUUGUGUGAAUUCAUUGAGCCCUGCUCUGAAACUGAAUUUUUCACCCACCUCCGAAGCAGACACUUGAAAGUGAAGUAACAGGUGGGGUCCAGUUGGUAAAUAGCUAUGCUGUGUAUUAUUGUUUGUGUGUGUGCACAGUGUUCAGGAUAACAAAUGGACCCUAUUUUAACUGUGUGAUGUCCUCUCUGCUCCCUCAAUCCACCAGGCUUCGGAUGUGACAGAAGUCAGAUGCCUUGUCCUCAGGGGGCUUCCUGUCCUUCUUGGCGAUGAUCCAUCCGCCUUCUUCAAGGCCUGCUUUAACGUUGAUGAUGAGGAAGGUUUGUACAAUGAUGUGCCAGUGGGAAUCCUGUGCCAUGAACAGCAAAACAUCACUCCACACACCCAGUCUCUUCACCACAAUGCAUCCUCAGUGGGAAUCAUCUUGGAGGGAAACAUUGUGAUGGAUGUUGAGAGCCUGCCCCAGGCCAUGUACAUCGUCUUCGGACUUACCUAUGCACUGCAUCUCAACUACCCAAAGUACAUGGAGAACACUUCCAACAGGGAAACAGGCUGAGGUGUUGGAGCGCAGAGACGCUGUUCGCUGCAGCUGAGCGCCCAGAUUAACCUGUCACACAGCUUCGUACCAUCGAUCGCGUUUCUAUUCCGCUAUGUUUGCAACAUGAAGAUCUGGACGGCUUACGUAUUUGACGCCAUCCCAUCAGGCACCAUCAUGCUUUUUAGAUAUUCUGGCAGACUUCCACCUGCUUCUGUCUCCCUCCCCGAUGUGGCUGAAUCACCAGUAGGUACAAUCUGUUUUUCCCAACUUCCUAAAAAUAAUAAGAACAUCCGUGCUUUAUUUCAGAAAGAAAUAGUUUCUAUGACAAAUGUUUAAUUUUACUGGAACCGAUUUGUAAAUGACACUGACUGGAAAAAGGUUUGGAUGAUUCCUCACAGAUACUUGAAAGUAAACAAGGUGAAAGUGUCGUUCAGAAGAAGUCACAGAUAUUACCCUGCAAAUCAUUACAUGGUUAAAUUAAAGAGACAUCAAUACAAACUGUUCUUUUUGUGAAGACCGCCCAGAAACUGUUUUGCACCUCUUUUGGUUUUGCUCACACAACAGAACAUUUUGGCAAAACCUCAGCAGAUUAAUCAUUGACCUCAUCUAUAAAGACUUUGCCUUACUGUGGAAGAAUGUUGUAUUUUGCUUUUAUAGAAGUCAAAGUGAAGAAAAGUUGUACUUCAUUAUAAAAUGAUUAAUUCUUUUGGCAAAAUUUCACAUUCAUAAAUGCAAAUCCAGCGCUAAAAAACCUAAUUUUAUACUUUUUUUCCACAAAGUUGUGCUUUAUAUUAAUCUGAUUUCUGGCUCCAACAACAGAAAGGCAGUUAAAACUGUCAACAUGUGGUCCUCUCUCUCUUUGUAAUGACCUGUAGGCGGCUGUGUUUUAUAUAUGUAUUUGUAUACUGUUCUGUAUAUCUUUAUAAGUCACAUCUGAAUUGUAACCCCCUUUAUGCAUUAAAGAUGACUUUAAAUUAAAAAAUGAAAACAUU
This is a long non-coding RNA of Micropterus dolomieu (smallmouth bass), 1836 nucleotides long. RefSeq lists it as uncharacterized. NCBI's taxonomy places the organism in Eukaryota, Metazoa, Chordata, Actinopteri, Centrarchiformes, Centrarchidae. The record is from RefSeq and is a predicted model, not a curated record. The transcript is spliced from 3 exons.